UCUACAGCUUCAUCAGAGCCCCAGGUGAUUCUGUAAGCUGGGUGGUGACAGGGGUACGGCAAAGGUGUGUGAGGGCAGAGGGCAGAGGGCUGGUUGCAGGCCUUCUCCCAAACAUGCCUUCACUCCCGCCCUCUCUCUCCCUGCGCUCCCUCACCAACAGCCCGAGACCUCUCUUCCAGCUCUCUACGCCUUCCUGCCACUGAGAUUUAAAUGCCUGAAAGCCUCUCUCAUGGUACAUGACACAUUUUAUAUAUGUUAAUUACUAGUAUUUUUAGUGAUUUUCAAAAGAAACUUUAGUGUCUCUCAUAUUGUAAGCAAUCUAACAUUUUGCUCACGCACCCUGUGUGUCUGAAAAGCCUUUACUCCUUGUGAAAAUCCUACCCAUCUUUCAAAGACCAGUUCAAUUUUAAUGUUUGUUUUUUUUUGAGACAGAGUCUUGCUCUGUCGCCCAGGCUGCAGUGCAGUGGCACGAUCAUGGCUCACUGCAGCCUCGACUUCCUGGGCCCAAGUGAUCCUUGCACCUCAGCCUCCCAAGUAGCUGGGACUACAGGUGCAUGCCAUCACGCCCAGCUAGGUUUUUAAUUUUUGCAGAGGCGGUGUCUCCAUAUGUUGCUCAGGUUGGUCUCAAGCAAUCCUCUUGCCACAGCCUCCCAAAGUGCUAGGAUUACAGGUGUGAGCCCUGUACCUAGCCAACUUUUUCUUUAAGACCCUUUCUCUUUCAUUAUUUGAUCAAAAACAAAUCUGACUUUCUCUGAACUUCUGAACAGAAAUAAAAUGAAUCUCCUACUACAUUGACCUAAUCAACACACGUCUCCCGUUCCCUGUCAAGACACCAUGGAGGUGGAUGUUGUGUGAAGGUAGGAGCAGAGGUUUGAAUUUGGGAAGACUGGGUCUACAUCCUGGCUACUGGGCUCUGUGACUUCACAUACACCCUCAAGCUUUCUGACACAACAUUCUUUAUCUCUUUGAAAUACUCUAAUAAUAAGAAAUACCUGGCCUGGAG
This 1003-nucleotide long non-coding RNA is filed under the name Homo sapiens (human). RNAcentral's name for it is "non-protein coding lnc-MED24-5:1". Lineage: Eukaryota; Metazoa; Chordata; Mammalia; Primates; Hominidae. The record is from RNAcentral.